AGAUUUCAUAUUCAGGUCAAUUUCCAUGGAACAUCUCGGUUUGAGACUAGUAGAGACCAUAUCUUACCUAAUAUUACUACUAUUUCGAAGCGUUCCCGAAGCAAAUCAGUCGCAGACAUAUUAUACAAUGGAGAUGUUUCAUCGAUUUUAUGAACGAUCGUCGUUGGCCAAAUGAAGAAUAUUUUAUCUUCUUCUCCAUCACAGCCAAUCUAAAAGAUGCAAUUUUCUUGAGGGGUUGCUAACCCAACGCAGCAGCUCACCUUUAAUUCAGACUGAUAAAACGGCAAAUUUUCGCCUUCUUUGGUAACUUUGUGCUUAAUUAACUGCGACCUAACGUGCGCCUCGAUGAUGUGACUCUUCCGCAUAUCGCCUACCCUAAACAUUAAACACGGCACGCCGUCCCUGUGCGAAAUAACGGCGUUACGUGAAAACAAUAAAGUCUGCGUACGUUUCUUUGGUCUUGAAAGUUUGGCGAAAACGACACCGACCAUAAAUGCUUGUAUCAUAACUCCGGUAAUACUCUGAAGGCACAUUACGAAUAUCGCUUCGGGACACUCCUCGGUCGUCGUUCUUCCUCCGAAACCAAUCGUGUGCUGCGUUUCCACGCUGAAGAGGAACGACGACGUGAACCCGUUGAUAUUGGUCACGCAAGGGAUCCACGUCUGGUUAUUCUACAAGCAAACUACCCAUGAUUUAAACACGUGAGGGAAGAAUGCCAAACACUUACUAUGUUUUGGGCGAGAAGAUCGCCGUGCGAGUAGCCAAUCAGCCACCACACUAUCGCAAAUCCCAACCAGGACAGUACGAAGUUCAUGGAAAACACCAACAACGUCCAUCUCCACUGCGCGUCCACAAGCGUCGUGAAGAUAUCCUGCAGAUACCUCCGUCGCCGUUUCGCGACGUUUCCCUGGACAACAUUACAAUCGCCAUGCUUGAAAACGACGCGUUUACGAAUUCGUCUCGCAUUAAAUCUCGAUUGACGAUAUCUGCAACAAAUACUACGAGGACUACAGAUGUCGCUCAUCGCUCCCACGCCAUCCUCCCGGAAUCUCGACUUCUACAUCUUCUUUGAUUAAUUUAAUAGAUACGCUUCCCGCAACCUCAGAGCAAAAUGUACAAAGUAAGCAACAACAUAGGAUUCGUGUUAAUUUAUCCAAAUGUUCAACUCCCCUAGAGCCUUACGAAAGCAAUGUUCAUUCUAUAUACGUAUACCGGCACACACAAUAAACAUGGAAAUAGACUGGA
Photinus pyralis (common eastern firefly) is the source of this 1245-nucleotide long non-coding RNA. RefSeq lists it as uncharacterized. The record is from RefSeq and is a predicted model, not a curated record. Lineage: Eukaryota; Metazoa; Arthropoda; Insecta; Coleoptera; Lampyridae. The transcript is spliced from 3 exons.